RNAcentral lists this long non-coding RNA (720 nucleotides) under Fragaria vesca (wild strawberry). RNAcentral describes it as "long non-coding RNA (FVES_LNC001026)". Lineage: Eukaryota; Viridiplantae; Streptophyta; Magnoliopsida; Rosales; Rosaceae. The record is from RNAcentral.
AAGGACACACAUACAUAGGGGGACGUAGUAAGCCUUACCCUUAAACGUAUAAAUAAAAACUAACUAAAUUUUACUCUACGAGGCCCCAAAGCUUCAAAAUCAUUAAUCACCGCCUCAUUGUCAACCGUUUCAGCAUAUUCAACCGCUUGAGCACUCUUUUUAUUAAACCAUGUACUUAUAUCUUUUGAUCUAGGCCUUCUAACACGAUCAAUGUGUUCAUCAUACAUUAUGUGAAAUUCAUCAAACAUAUCAUCUUCUAUUUCUGUCAAACAAAAAUGGAUGUGCCUUACAUAAAUAUCAACUGAUCAACAAUUCAACAUCAAGCUUUAAUCUUAACCAAAAAUAUAAAUAUAUAUCUGUGAAAGCAUGCCAAAAAAACAUAUAGUUAAGUAAUUAACUGAAUUCUAUUCCCUAUUCCAGUAUUCCCUAUUGAAUUCUAUUCCCUAAUUUAGUAAAACAACAAUCAAAAUUUAGGCAAACAACAAUCAAAAUUUAGUAAUCCCUAUUCCCUAAUGAAUUCUAUAGUUUGAUUCAAAUAAUCAAAAUUUAGGCAAAAAGCCAAUAGCCAUACCUGAGGUCUGAGGAUUGAGGAUUGAGGAAGACAUGAAGUCAGGAAGUAGGGAUCGGGGACUGCCGGACUGAGAAUCUGGGAUGGGCAUCGGCAGGAGCGACGGCCAAGGGCUGAAGGACGACGGGCGGCGAGAGCGACCGGCAAGAGCG